UACAGAGGUCUCAAGCGUUGUUCGGAUUCAUUGGGCGUAAAGGGUGCGUAGGCGGCGCGGUAAGUCGGGUGUGAAAUCUCGGGGCUUAACUCCGAAACUGCAUUCGAUACUGCCGUGCUUGAGGACUGGAGAGGAGACUGGAAUUUACGGUGUAGCGGUGAAAUGCGUAGAUAUCGUAAGGAAGACCAGUGGCGAAGGCGGGUCCCUGGACAGUUCCUGACGCUGAGGCACGAAGGUCAGGGGAGCAAACGGG
This 253-nucleotide ribosomal RNA is filed under the name uncultured bacterium. RNAcentral's name for it is "partial 16S ribosomal RNA". It matches the Rfam family "Bacterial small subunit ribosomal RNA", at positions 524 to 776 of the family's 1533-position model. The record is from RNAcentral.